This 253-nucleotide ribosomal RNA is filed under the name uncultured bacterium. RNAcentral's name for it is "partial 16S ribosomal RNA". It matches the Rfam family "Bacterial small subunit ribosomal RNA", at positions 524 to 776 of the family's 1533-position model. The record is from RNAcentral.
UACGUAGGGGGCAAGCGUUGUCCGGAUUUAUUGGGCGUAAAGAGCGUGUAGGCGGCCUGAAAGGUCAGCUGUGAAAACUCGAGGCUCAACCUCGAGACGCCGGUGGAAACCAUCAGACUAGAGUCCGGAAGAGGAGAGUGGAAUUCCUGGUGUAGCGGUGAAAUGCGCAGAUAUCAGGAAGAACACCCGUGGCUAAGGCGGCUCUCUAGUACGGUACUGACGCUGAGACGCGAAAGCGUGGGGAGCGAACAGG